AGCGAACGCUGGCGGCAGGCCUAACACAUGCCAGUCGAACGAACUCUUCGGAGUUAGUGGCGGACGGGUGAGUAACACGUGGGAACGUGCCUUUUGGUUCGGAAUAACUCAGGGAAACUUGUGCUAAUACCGAAUGUGCCCUUCGGGGGAAAGAUUUAUCGCCAUUAGAGCGGCCCGCGUCUGAUUAGCUAGUUGGUGAGGUAACGGCUCACCAAGGCGACGAUCAGUAGCUGGUCUGAGAGGAUGACCAGCCACACUGGGACUGAGACACGGCCCAGACUCCUACGGGAGGCAGCAGUGGGGAAUCUUGUGCAAUGGGCGAAAGCCUGACGCAGCCAUGCCGCGUGAAUGAUGAAGGUCUUAGGAUUGUAAAAUUCUUUCACCGGGGACGAUAAUGACGGUACCCGGAGAAGAAGCCCCGGCUAACUUCGUG
Molecule: ribosomal RNA, 433 nt
Filed under: uncultured bacterium
Lineage: Bacteria
Description: partial 16S ribosomal RNA
Rfam family: Bacterial small subunit ribosomal RNA
Source: RNAcentral